RNAcentral lists this transfer RNA (74 nucleotides) under Loxodonta africana (African savanna elephant). It matches the Rfam family "tRNA". Rfam says of the family: Transfer RNA (tRNA) molecules are approximately 80 nucleotides in length. The record is from Rfam by way of RNAcentral. Lineage: Eukaryota; Metazoa; Chordata; Mammalia; Proboscidea; Elephantidae.
ACCUCUGUAGUGGGAGUGGUUAACACACUGGACUGCUAACCAGGAGGUUGGUGGUUUAAGUCCACCCAGAGGCU